RNAcentral lists this ribosomal RNA (951 nucleotides) under Triticum aestivum (bread wheat). RNAcentral describes it as "partial small subunit ribosomal RNA". Lineage: Eukaryota; Viridiplantae; Streptophyta; Magnoliopsida; Poales; Poaceae. The record is from RNAcentral.
AUGCCGGUUCGGCCUUCAGUGGCUGGGCCCAUAAUUGGGCCCGUGGUGUGUGGGCCUCUACAGCCCGAUGCGGUGGCCGGCCCAUCUAGGGCCUUGCUCCCUCGGCCGGUCCAUAGAGGCUUGAUCUGGCUCCCGCAAGGGUUUCCCAUCCAGCCGCCUCCUCCCCUCGUAACCCCCUCCCUCGGCCCCGUCUCCUCGGCUCUGCUCCCCAGCCCGUGCACCGCCGCCCCUCCUCCCCCCGCGUUGGCCACUCCGCCGUCGCCAUCCAUGACGCGCGAAUGGGGCGACGCCGCUGGCCGGCCCAGGUGCGGCUUGGAGGACUGCCGGGACGCAUCCCGCUCCUCCCCAGAGGGUCUUCGUCGCGAGGCUGACCUACGCCGCCAGCUGUCCUCUCGGGACGCGCGCCGCUCCCCUCCCCGCGACGACCGUCGUUCGCCGGUGCGCGACGACCGUCGUUCGCCGGGCAUGAUCCCCACCGCUCCUUCCCCCGCGAUGACCGUCGGGACCGGCCCCGUUAUCCUCUGGCUGAGUCUUGGCGCUCGUCGCGGCGCCGAUCCCCUUUCCCCUUCGUGCCACCGCAAGCGCUCCCUGUCUCCCCCUCGCCUCCAGCAACAGCAGCUCGACAACGCUCCGCCUCGCCGAUACCAGCCCCGUAGAACCAGCCCAGCCUACCUCCUGCCAACAGAGGGAAUGGGGCUAAGGGCCGCCAAGGCGCAAAGAAGAAGAAGAAGAAGCGGGGUCCUGCUCGCCCCCCGCAGCGCCGGCCCCUGCCCCCGCGGCGCUGCCCUGCCCGUCUCCGGCCCCUCCCGAGACCCGCCCCCUGCUUCAACUAUGGGUUCGUGUGACACUACUAUGUCGAGUGCACCAACCCUCCGAUGUGCUAUCUGUGCAAGGACACGGGCCACCCCGCGGUUCUUUGCCCGGACCGGCCGAUCUCCGAGGAGCUCAUGA